GGUUGUAUACAGACUUAAAUAUCGGGAAUCAAACAUUUUAUAUGAGUUUUCUUCCUUUUACUAUUGAUCUCCUAACAAACAACAUUCUAUAUUGUUCUGAUCAACUUAAAAUAGUCUUGUAGUCUGGUAUAACCAUAAGGAGUAUGGUGACAAGUUCACGUAAGGAUGGUAGUGGACAAUCUUAUUUGAUACCCAAGUUUCCA
This 203-nucleotide long non-coding RNA is filed under the name Gossypium barbadense (sea-island cotton). Its description in RNAcentral is "long non-coding RNA (GBAR_LNC017276)". The record is from RNAcentral. Lineage: Eukaryota; Viridiplantae; Streptophyta; Magnoliopsida; Malvales; Malvaceae.